UACGUAGGUGGCAAGCGUUGUCCGGAAUUACUGGGCGUAAAGGGCGUGUAGGCGGUCUUUUAAGUCAGGCGUCAAAACUAUGGGCUUAACCUAUAGACUGCGUUUGAGACUGAGAGACUUGAGGAUCGGAGAGGGCAGUGGAAUUCCCAGUGUAGCGGUGAAAUGCGUAGAUAUUGGGAGGAACACCAGUGGCGAAGGCGACUGCCUGGACGACACCUGACGCUGAGGCGCGAAAGCUAGGGGAGCAAACGGG
This 253-nucleotide ribosomal RNA is filed under the name uncultured bacterium. RNAcentral's name for it is "partial 16S ribosomal RNA". It matches the Rfam family "Bacterial small subunit ribosomal RNA", at positions 524 to 776 of the family's 1533-position model. The record is from RNAcentral.